RNAcentral lists this long non-coding RNA (692 nucleotides) under Helianthus annuus (common sunflower). Lineage: Eukaryota; Viridiplantae; Streptophyta; Magnoliopsida; Asterales; Asteraceae. The record is from RNAcentral.
GGCAAACACUCAAUUUGGACUUUUAAUAUUAUAAGACCACGGGUUGCUUUGGGAUGUAUAAUCUUUGAAAACAAGUUAUAUGGGCCCCUUCCAUUUCACAGACGCAGAGCAGUUGAAUACAAAGAGAUUAAAUAUUCUGAUUGCAGUUUUGAGCAUUUUGGCAGACAGCUGUAGAGGGGUAUUCCGUUCAUUGUAAAAGAGGGAUAAAGCAAUGGACAGUUUCAGGCAUUCUUUGAGUUUGCCACAGAAAAGGAUCCAAAAUGAAGUAGAAAAGAGGAGUGAAGUUGAAAUCCGAUCCAAAAAUGAUUAGUUGUAAACGACCCGAGCCAGGUAUAUUUAUAACGAGAUUCUUGGAGGAUGAAAUUGGGCUCUUUUUUGCAGUUAAUGAUGUGUGAGAGCUAGUAAUCUUGUUCUUAAUAAUAAUGAUAAUGAUAAUGAUAAUAAUGAGCAGUCAGGUCUAGUUUCAUUUAUUAGGGCACUUCGAUUAUUCAUCAGCCUUUUGACGUAACUAUGAUCUCUUUUAUAACAAAUACCAGAUUGAUAUGCUCCGUAUAUUGAAGGUAAACGUUAACUUUUGUUAGCAUGCAUAAUACCAUCCACGCUUUCUGCCAACAUAAUACUAGUCAAGUUCCUUGUUAAACAAAUACCAAACACUUUGUAGCUUAGCAGUAUUAAAUGGUGAAGGGUUAUAA